GUUAAGCGACUAAGCGUACACGGUGGAUGCCCUGGCAGUCAGAGGCGAUGAAGGACGUGCUAAUCUGCGAUAAGCGUCGGUAAGGUGAUAUGAACCGUUAUAACCGGCGAUUUCCGAAUGGGGAAACCCAGUGUGUUUCGACACACUAUCAUUAACUGAAUCCAUAGGUUAAUGAGGCGAACCGGGGGAACUGAAACAUCUAAGUACCCCGAGGAAAAGAAAUCAACCGAGAUUCCCCCAGUAGCGGCGAGCGAACGGGGAGCAGCCCAGAGCCUGAAUCAGUGUGUGUGUUAGUGGAAGCGUCUGGAAAGGCGUGCGAUACAGGGUGACAGCCCCGUACACAAAAAUGCACAUGCUGUGAGCUCGAUGAGUAGGGCGGGACACGUGGUAUCCUGUCUGAAUAUGGGGGGACCAUCCUCCAAGGCUAAAUACUCCUGACUGACCGAUAGUGAACCAGUACCGUGAGGGAAAGGCGAAAAGAACCCCGGCGAGGGGAGUGAAAAAGAACCUGAAACCGUGUACGUACAAGCAGUGGGAGCACGCUUAGGCGUGUGACUGCGUACCUUUUGUAUAAUGGGUCAGCGACUUAUAUUCUGUAGCAAGGUUAACCGAAUAGGGGAGCCGAAGGGAAACCGAGUCUUAACUGGGCGUUAAGUUGCAGGGUAUAGACCCGAAACCCGGUGAUCUAGCCAUGGGCAGGUUGAAGGUUGGGUAACACUAACUGGAGGACCGAACCGACUAAUGUUGAAAAAUUAGCGGAUGACUUGUGGCUGGGGGUGAAAGGCCAAUCAAACCGGGAGAUAGCUGGUUCUCCCCGAAAGCUAUUUAGGUAGCGCCUCGUGAAUUCAUCUCCGGGGGUAGAGCACUGUUUCGGCAAGGGGGUCAUCCCGACUUACCAACCCGAUGCAAACUGCGAAUACCGGAGAAUGUUAUCACGGGAGACACACGGCGGGUGCUAACGUCCGUCGUGAAGAGGGAAACAACCCAGACCGCCAGCUAAGGUCCCAAAGUCAUGGUUAAGUGGGAAACGAUGUGGGAAGGCCCAGACAGCCAGGAUGUUGGCUUAGAAGCAGCCAUCAUUUAAAGAAAGCGUAAUAGCUCACUGGUCGAGUCGGCCUGCGCGGAAGAUGUAACGGGGCUAAACCAUGCACCGAAGCUGCGGCAGCGACACUAUGUGUUGUUGGGUAGGGGAGCGUUCUGUAAGCCUGUGAAGGUGUACUGUGAGGUAUGCUGGAGGUAUCAGAAGUGCGAAUGCUGACAUAAGUAACGAUAAAGCGGGUGAAAAGCCCGCUCGCCGGAAGACCAAGGGUUCCUGUCCAACGUUAAUCGGGGCAGGGUGAGUCGACCCCUAAGGCGAGGCCGAAAGGCGUAGUCGAUGGGAAACAGGUUAAUAUUCCUGUACUUGGUGUUACUGCGAAGGGGGGACGGAGAAGGCUAUGUUGGCCGGGCGACGGUUGUCCCGGUUUAAGCGUGUAGGCUGGUUUUCCAGGCAAAUCCGGAAAAUCAAGGCUGAGGCGUGAUGACGAGGCACUACGGUGCUGAAGCAACAAAUGCCCUGCUUCCAGGAAAAGCCUCUAAGCAUCAGGUAACAUCAAAUCGUACCCCAAACCGACACAGGUGGUCAGGUAGAGAAUACCAAGGCGCUUGAGAGAACUCGGGUGAAGGAACUAGGCAAAAUGGUGCCGUAACUUCGGGAGAAGG
This 1701-nucleotide ribosomal RNA is filed under the name Escherichia coli. RNAcentral describes it as "partial 23S ribosomal RNA". It matches the Rfam family "Bacterial large subunit ribosomal RNA", at positions 1 to 1746 of the family's 2925-position model. Lineage: Bacteria; Pseudomonadati; Pseudomonadota; Gammaproteobacteria; Enterobacterales; Enterobacteriaceae. The record is from RNAcentral.